Molecule: ribosomal RNA, 423 nt
Filed under: uncultured bacterium
Lineage: Bacteria
Description: bacterial SSU rRNA
Rfam family: Bacterial small subunit ribosomal RNA
Source: RNAcentral
UCUUCCGCAAUGGACGAAAGUCUGACGGAGCAACGCCGCGUGAGUGAUGAAGGCUUUCGGGUCGUAAAACUCUGUUGUUAGGGAAGAACAAGUGCUAGUUGAAUAAGCUGGCACCUUGACGGUACCUAACCAGAAAGCCACGGCUAACUACGUGCCAGCAGCCGCGGUAAUACGUAGGUGGCAAGCGUUAUCCGGAAUUAUUGGGCGUAAAGCGCGGGCAGGUGGUUUCUUAGGUCGGAUGUGAAAGCCCACGGCUCAACCGGGGAGGGUCAUUGGAAACUGGGAGACUCGAGUGCAGAAGAGGAAAGUGGAAUUCCAUGUGUAGCGGUGAAAUGCGUAGAAAUAUGGAGGAACACCAGUGGCGACGGAGACUUUCUGGUCUGUAACUGACACUGAGGCGCGAAAGCGUGGGGAGCAAACAGG